CGUCUCCCCCACCUCCCCUAGCCUAAACUGUGCGCAUGCGCGAGGGGGAGAUUGACCACGUGCCGACCCUGGCAGGACCGGGCUGGCAGAGGGGAUACUGAGGCUCCGAGAGCCAAGGUCAGCCUCCAGAAGACCAUUACUUCGAAGCUGGUGGAGUUGGCUCUGUCGAGGACUUCCUGGUUGGUGAUUCGGUCCUGUCAUCGGAUCCUCAUGAUUGACCAGAGAGAGCGUUGGUGGAAUUGCUCCAGCUGUUUCAUGUGCUUCCGGUACAGUGUCCAUGUCUCGCAACCGUACAGGAGCGAGCUGAGGACCCCUGCGUUAUACACUUUGAGCUUCAUCGCAGUGCUUACACCGCUGUGUUGGAGGACUUUGCAGCGCAGUCGCCUGAGUGCCUGGCUGGCCUUUUGGAUCCUGGCAUUGAUUUCAUGGUCUAGGGACCUGUCUUGGCGAUGGUGCUGCCCAGGUACUUGAAAGUGUUGACAUUAGAAAGCUGAGUGCCGUUGAUAGUUACGCAGGGCUGGUUCGUUGGCCUCCCUGGUGCAGGUUGGAACAGCACCUCUGUUAUGCUGAGGCUGAUAGUCAAGCCAAACAGUUUUGUUGCGGUAGUGAACCUGUCCACAAUGGUUUGAAGAUGAUUUUCUUGGUGAGCCAUGAGAGCACAGUCAUCUGCGAAGAGAGCUACCAGGAUGAGUCUCUCUGUUGUCUUUGUUUUUUCAGUCAGGCGGCGAGGGUCGAAUAGUGAGCCAUCCAGUUGGUAUUUGAUGUAGAUGCCCAGGUCUAGAUCCAUCACAGCAUGUUGUAAUACUUGGGUGAAAAAUAGGUUGAAUAGCACCAGGGCAAGGACAGGGCCUUGUUUCACGCCACUGGAGAUGUUGAAGCGAUCGGAAGUCUCUCCACCAGAUAGGACUUCCCCUGUCAUAUCGACAUGAAAGAGCUGGAUCAGUUUGACGAAUUUUUCUGGGCAACCGAGCUUGCUGAGGAUCACCCACAGUGCGUCCCUGUUCACUGUGUCAAAUGCCUUUGUCAGGUCUAUGAAGACAAUGUAGAGACUCAGGUUCUGCUCAAGGCAUUUUCCCUGCAUUUGCCUCACCGUGAAGACCAUGUGGAUGGUGCUGCGAUCUGGUCGGAAGCCACAUUGUGAUUCAGACAGAUUCUGCUCUGAAACAGAUGACAGGAGUCUGUUGAGUAUAACAUGGGCAGUCCAUUACAUCCUAUUGUACCACAGUGUAUCAGUCUCUAUGUACAAUGUUUUCCUGGUUCUGUUCCUCUCGCUCUGCAUCAAUUCCUGGAGGUUGUUCCAGUCCCCAUGAAAUUCCUCCACUUUAUUAUUCCUUUUAGCACAAUAGUAUUCCAUCACUAACAUGUACCACAAUUUGUUCAGCCAUUCCCCAAUUGAAGGGCUUCCUCUCAUUUUCCAAUUUUUUGCCACCACAAAGAGCGCAGCUAUAAAUAUUUUUGUACAUGUCUUUUUGCUUAUUAUCUCUUUGGGGUACAAACCCAGCAGUGCUAUGGCUGGAUCAAAGGGCAGACAGUCUUUUAUCGCCCUUUGGGCAUAGUUCCAAAUUGCUCUCCAGAAUGGUUGGAUCAAUUCACAAUUCCAGCAGCAAUGUAUUAAUAUCCCAACUUUGCCACAUCCCCUCUAGCAUUCAUUACUUUCCUUUGCUGUCAUAUUAGCCAAUCUGCUAGGUGUGAGGUGGUACCUCAGAGUUGUUUUGAUUUGCAUCUCUGAUUAUGAGAUUUAGAACACUUUUUCAUGUGCUUAUUAAUAGUUUUGAUUUCUUAAACUGAAAAUUACCUAUUCAUGUCUCUUGCCCACUUAUCAAUUGGAGAAUGGCUUGAUUUUUUGGUACAAUUGGUUUAGCUCUUUAUAAAUUUGAGUAAUUAGACCUUUGUCAGAGGUUUCUGUAAUGAGGAUUGUUUCCUAAUUUGUUGCUUCCCUUCUAAUUUUGGAUGCAUUAGUUUUGUUUGUACAAAAACUUUUUAAUUUGAUGUAACCAAAAUUAUUGAUUUUACAUUUUGUGAUUUUUUUCUAGCUCUUUGCUUGGUUUUAAAGUCUUUUCUUUCCCAUAGAUCUGACAAGUAUACUAUUCUGUGUUCGCCUAAUUUGCUUAUAGUUUCCUUCUUUAUAUUCAGGUCAUUCACCCAUUCUGAGUUUAUCUUGGUGUAGGGUGUGAGAUGUUGAUCCAGACCUAAUCUCUCCCAUACUGUCUUCUAAUUUUCCCAGCAGUUUUUAUCAAAUAGUGGAUUUUGGUCCCCUAAACUGGGAUCUUUGGGCUUAUCAUUGACUGUCUUGCUGAGGUCAUUUACCCCAAGUCUAUUCUUCUAUGCUUCUAUGCGUCUAUGCUUCUCCUUUCUGUCUCUUAGCCAGUAUUAUAUUGAUGACCACUGCUUUAUAGUAUAGUUUGAGAUCUGGGACUGCAAGUCCUCCUUCCUUUGCAUUUUUUUCAUGAUUUCCUUGGUUAUCCUUGACCUUUUGAUCUUCCAAAUGAACUUUGUUAUGGUUUUCUCUAAAAAAGUUUUUUGGUAGUUCAAUGGGUAUGGUACUAAAUAAGUAAAUCAAUUUGGGUAGGAUUGCCAUUUUUAUUAUGUUAGCUCAUCCCACCCAUGAGUAAUCAAUGUUUUUCCAGUUGUUUAGAUCUAAUUUUAAUUGUGUGAAGAGUGUUUUGUAGUUGUGUUUAUAUAGUUCCUGUAUUUGUCUCGGCAGAUAGAUUCCUAAGUAAUUUAUAUUGUCUAGGGUGAUUUUAAAUGGUAUUUCUCUUUCUAAUUCUUGCUGCUGAUAUGGGUUGGAGAUAUAUAGAAAUGCUGAUGACUUAUACGGGUUUAUUUUGUAUCCUUCAACUUUGCUAAAGUUGUUGAUUAUUUUGACUAGCUUUUUUGGUUGAUUCUCUAGGAUUCUUUAAGUAGUGUAAAGAUUAAAAUUUAGGGGAGAUGGGGAGACUGAGGCAGGUAGAAAUUAGUUUCUCUCUGCAAGGAAUAUUAUAUUUUUUAGAGGUUUAUUAAAGGUUAAAGAUUAAAUAAUAUACAACUAAGAAACAUGUGCCUAGGCCAGAGGCCUAGACAAAAUAACCUCACAUCACACAAGAGACCGCCUGCUCCAAAACGGAAGUCCAAAAAGAGCCGAGAGAGAGCCCUCAAAAGCCUUUGAAUCAGCUUAAAUAUCUUCUAGAUCUCGGCCCAGGUGCGAUUACAAGGCAUUCUGGGGAAGUGGAGCAAAGGCUCGUGGGGAUUGUAGUCCUGUAUUCGAGUCUAUUUUUUACAGUAGAUCAUCAUAUCAUCCACAAAGAGCGAUAGCUUGUUCUCCUCCUUGCCAAUUUUAAUACCUUCAAUUUCUUUUUCUUCUCUAAUUGCUCCUGCUAGUGUUUCUAGUACAAUGUUAAAUAAUAGAGGUGAUAAUGGGCAUCCUUGUUUCACUCCUGAUAUUAUUGGGAAUGCAUCUAGAUUAUCCCCAUUGCAGAUGAUAUUUGCUGAUGGUUUUAGAUAUAUACUGUUUAUUAUUUUUAGGAAAGAUCCUUCUAUUCCUAUACUUUCUAGUGUUUUCAAUAGGAAUGGGUGUUGUAUUUUAUCAAAGGUUUUUUCUGCAUCUAUUGAGAUAAUCAUGUGAUUUUUGUCGGUUUGCUUGUUAAUAUGGUCAAUUAUGUGGAUGGUUUUCCUAAUAUUGAACCAUCCUUGCAUUCCUGGUAUGAAUCUUACCUGGUCAUAGUGAAUAACCCUUUGUGAUGACUUGCUGGAGUUUUUUUGCUAGUAUCCUAUUUAGGAUUUUUGCAUCUAUAUUCAUUAAGGAGAUUGAUCUAUAGUUUUCUUUCUCUGUUUUUGACCUGCCUGGCAUUGGGAUCAGUACCAUAUUUGUGUCGUAAAAUGAAUUUGGUAGAACUCCUUCUUUGCUUAUUUUGUCAAUUAGUUUGUAUAAUAUUGGGAUUAGUUGUUCUUUGAAUGUUUGAUAGAAUUCAUUUGUGAAUCCAUCAGGACCUGGGGAUUUUUUCUUAGGGAGUUCUUUGAUGGAUUGUUCAAUCUCUUUUUCUGAUAUGGGGAUAUUUAGGUAAUCCAUUUCUUCCUCUGUUAGACUAGGCAAUUUAUAUUUUUGUAAGUAUUCAUUCAUAUCACCUAGAUUGCCAUAUUUGUUGCCAUAUAGUUGGGCAUAAUAGUUUUUAGUGAUUGCCUUAAUUUCCUCUUCAUUAGAGGUGAGGUCUCCCUUUUUAUCUUGGAUACUGUCAAUUCGGUUUUCUUCUUUACUUUUUUUAAUUAGACUUACCAGUACUUUGUCUAUUUUAUUUGUUUUUUCAAAGUACCAGCUUCUAGUCUUAUUUAUUAAAUCAAUAGUUCUUUGACUUUUAAUCUUAUUAAUUUCUCCUUUGAUUUUUAGGAUCUCUAAUUUAGUCUUCAUCAGAGGAUUUUUAAUUUGUUCACUUUCUAGUUUUUUAAUUUGCAUGCCCAAUUCAUUGACCUCUGCCCUCCCUAAUUUGUUAAUAUAUGAACUCAAGGAUAUAAAUUUCCCCCUGAGUAUUACUGCUUUGGCUGCAUUCCAUAGGCUUUGAAAGGAUGUCUCAUCAUUGUCAUUUUCUUCAGUGAAGUUAUUAAUUGUUUCUAUGAUUUGUUCUUUAACUAACUGGUUUUGGAGAAUCGUAUUGUUUAAUUUCCAAUUAAUUUUUGAUUUACCUCUCCAUGUGCCCUUACUAAUUAUUAUUUUCAUUGCAUUGUGAUCUGAGAAGAUUGCAUUCAUUAUUUCUGCUCUUUUGCAUUUGUUUGCAAUAUUUUUAUGACAUAAUACAUGGCCAAUUUUUGUGAAUGUACCAUGUACUGCUGAAAAGAAGAUCUAUUCCUUUUUGUCCCUAUUUAUUUUUCUCCACAUAUCUACUAACUCUCAUUUUUCUAAUAUUUCAUUUACUUCUCUUACCUCUUCCUUAUUUAUUUUUUGGUUUGAUUUAUCUAGUUCGGAUAGAGGAAGGUCCAGGUCUCCCACUAGUAUAGUUUUUCUAUCUAUUUCAUCCUUGAGCUCCCCUAGUUUCUCCUUUAGAAAUUUGCAUGCUCUGCCAUUUGGUGCAUACAUAUUGAGUACUGAUAUUUCCUCAUUGUCUAUACUGCCUUUUCUCAGGAUGUAAUUACCUUCCCUGUCUCUUUUAACUAGAUUUAUUUUUACUUUGGCUUUGUCAGAUAUCAUGAUUGCGACUCCUACCUUCUUUUUGUCAGUUGAUGUCCAAUAGAUUUGGCUCCAUCCUCUUACUUUCACCCUAUGCAUAUCUACCUUCCUCAUGUAUGUUUCUUGUAGACAGCAUAUGGUAGGGUUUUGGAUUCUAAUCUACUCUGCUAUUUUCUUGCAUUUUAUGGGUGAGUUCAUUCCAAUCAAAUUCAGAAUUAUGAUUACUACUAUGAUUUCCCAGCAUUUUGAUUUCUACUCCUGGUCCUGCCUUUUCUUCUUUCACUAUUUCCUUCUACACCAAUGUUUGUUUUUAGUCAAUCCCCCUAGUUCCCAUCCUCAUUUUACAUUCCUUUCUACCCCCUCCCUUCUCAUUCCCCCCUUAUUUGCCUUGCAGUCUUUCUAAAACUACCUCCCACCCUCUCCCUCCCUUGUACUUCUUCCCUCCCCACCAGUCCAUUUGUUACACUUCUACUCCCCUAUAAGGUGCAAAUCUAUUCUCUGCCCCAAUGAAUUGGGUUGUUUUUCCCUCUGUGGGUCAAUUUCAAUGCACAUAAGAGUUGAGUAUUCCCUAUCUCCAACCUCUUUACCCUUCCAGUGUAUUGAUGUUCUCCCCCCCUCCCUCCACGAGCUUCUUUGUGACAUAUAAAUUUACCCCCUUUUGCUUCUUUUCCCAUUUCUUUUAGUAUUAACCUCUUUUUUUAGCUCUAGGUGUAUAUAUAAUAUAUAUACACUUGUAUAUUAUUUAUGCAUACAUAUGUCUAAAUACCUAUUUAUGUCUUGUCAUUUCAUUCUAUAGAGUUUGUCACUGUUCCCUCUAAGUGUAAUUCUUCUAGCUGCCCAAUUGAAAAUAACAAUUUUUAAGAGUUACCAAUGACCUUUAUUUUUAUAGGGAUACAUAUUUUAACUUAUUGGGUCUCUUUAAAAAAGUGUUUUUUUUCUUGUUUUUUUUCUCCUCCCCUCCCCCCUUUUAAAUUACCUUUUGAUGAUUCUCUUGAGUUCUGUGCUUGGGCAUCAAAUUUUCUGUUCAGGUCUGGUCUUUUCUUUAUAAAUUCUUGGAAUUCUUCUAUUUUGUUGAAUGACCAUACUUUCCCCUGUAAGAAUAUAGUCAGUUUUGCUGGGUAGUUGAUUCUUGGUUGUAGACCUAGUUCCCUUGCUUUCCAGAAUAUCAUAUUCCAUGCCUUUCAGUCCUUCAGUGUGGAAGCAGCCAGAUCCUGAGUUAUCCUCACUGUGGUUCCUUGGUAUCUGAAUGACUUCUUCUUGGCAGCUUGCAAUAUCUUUCUUUGUUUUGAUAGUUCUUGAAUUUGGCUAUAAUAUUCUUGGGUGUUGUCAGUUGGGGAUUAUGUACAUGAGGUGAUCUGUGGAGUCUUUAAAUCUCCACUUUUCCCUCUUGUUCUAGAAUAUCGGGGCAGUUUUCUUGAAUAAUUUCCUGUAGUAUGAUGUCCAGGUUUUUUCUUUUGUCAUGGUCUUCUGGUAGACCAAUGAUUAUUAAAUUGUCUCUCCUCGAAUGAUUUUCUAAAUCCUCUGUUUUGUGAAUGAGAUGCUUCAUAUUUUCCUCAAUUUUUUCAUUCUUUUGGUUUUGUUUUAUAGUUUCCUACUGCCUUGUGAGGUCACUUAAUUCUAGUUGUUGUAUUCUUGUUUUUAAAGACUGGAUUUCAUCCCUGAAUUUUUGGUCAUCUUUCUCAUUCUGGUCUGAUUUUCUUUGGAGGUCAUCUUUCAUUCUCUUUACCUCAUCUCUCAUCUCCUUUGCCUCCUCUUUCAUCUUCUUUGCCUCAUUUUCAAGCUGUUUGAUUUUGGCUUUCAAGACACUAUUUUCUGUUUCCAGAUGACUUAUCUUAAUUUUUAAAAUCUUUUCCCAAUUGUCUUCAGCCUCUUUUAAUUGUGUUUUGAAUUGCAUUUUGAGUUCUUCCAAAAUCUGUAUCCAAUUCGCUGGAUUUCUGUUUUAUUACUUGCCUGCCUGUGUAUUGUUUGUUCUUGGUUCAUUGCCUGUGCAGAAGCUGUCAAUUGUAAUUUCUUUCUUCUUUUUCUGUUGUUUGCUAAUAUUUAUCCCUUCUUUGCUCCCUGUAUUUUUCUGUGCUCUUGCUCCUCUCAUUUUUUUUGAUUUUGGGUCUUUCUGUCAGUUUCUCCUCUUGGAGCUUUGUCAGAUUUCUCAGUGCAGUCUCUGGGGGAGGAUUGUUGGAGUUUGAGAUUCCCUGUACUCUGAAGUCUUUUGAUGGAAUUAAGUUCAGCUGGGAUGGGUUGGAUGUGCUCUGAAGCCAAAACCUCCUGGAAGUCUGGAGCAAUAUGGACAGUGUCAGCCCUCCUGUCCAGGCUGCCAGCUCUUUGCUCCCUCUCCAGCUGCUUCCUUGCUGCCUGUGUUUGACACGCUGAGCUUGGCACAGCCCUGCCCACAAGGUACAUCCUCCAGACCAGAGCCUUUGCCCGCCCAGAGAUUCCUGCUCCCACUGGAGGCUUUGCACUCUAGGUGUGGGGGGGAAUGGGUCCUGGGACCUUCCUUCUGCCUUCCCCCUAAGCCUGAGUGUUCUUGGAUUUUGACUUUUGGAGGGGCAUACCUUUUGAAUUGAGUCCAGCAGGAGGGUUCCCCAGCUCUGUCUUGUUGUUAGAUUUGAUUUUCAGUCCCCUAGGAACAUUCAGUUUGUGAUCAGUAAGGAAGGAUUUUCAGAGGUCUGAGCUAUUGCUGCUCCUAAGCUGCCAUCUUGACUCCUCUCCCAGUUGAUGAAUUUUAAGAAUGAAUGAUGUUGGAGAUCUCUGAUGUCCUCUUGUAAUAUAAUACUGAACUUAACAAAGCACUCGCCAUCAGAGAAUCUCUAUAGUUUAUAGAUAAUUCAAUUUUAUUGCAGGCAUAUUAUAUAUGAUUAAAAUGACCUUAUUGGUGAAUAAACUAUUGGUUAAGGAGGUUGUUUGGUAACCUGUUGAAAAUGAUGCAGAAACUCACUUGUAGAUUGAAGUUUAGAAAUUAAAGGAUAGCCCUACAUUUUUUAACCUUUACCUUUCACCUUAGAAUCAAUACUAUGUAUGGGUUUGUGAAUUUUAGAUUUACGCCACGCUGCUUAGUCUAACAAAAGAGGAAUGGGAUAUUCCCUGGCGACCAAAUUAAUUUAGAUUAAGUCACAACCCUAAAAUUACCUUUACAGGUUCCAAGGCAGAAGAGUUGGAAGAGUCUGAGACCAGAUUUGAACCUAGUGCCUCCUGUCUCUUGUGAUAAUUAAAAUGUUUUGGGAGCAAGGGUAAUAUAUAACAAUCAUGACCACUGAAAUAUGUUUUCUACUAUGUCUUGGGUUUAUAUAAAUAUAAGAUGGUCACCAGGGAAUAUAUUCCCAAUUUAUGAAUAUGCCCAAGCCAACUGGGUUUUAUAGAGAAAUUUAAUUUAUAAUACACUGAUUAAUCAAUAGAAAAAGAGAGAAAGUAAGAAAGAAAUAAGAAUGAAUAAAUCAGUCAGUUGAUUUUAUCACUCACCCAAGAUCUCUCUAGGUAAGGCUUCUCAUGCCAACCUCAGGCUCCACCUUCAAGAGAGCCUCCUUUCAAGAAAUGUUUCAGAGAAUUCUCCUCCUGACUCCUCCUGAGUUCUCCUUCCACAGCCUCCUUCAAGACCUCUCCAGGAGCUCUCCCUCCAGGACCUCUCUCCUCUCAGACUCCUUCAGAGCAAAACCUCUCAGAGCAAAACCUCCGGCACUUCCCUCCUCAGAGCCAAACUUCUCAGAGCAAAAAACCCUCCUUCCCUCCUGUCCUCAGACCCCGCUAUCUUUAAGGAAACCAUCUAAGUUCCCUCCCCUCAGUUCUCACAUCUACCAAUCACUGUCGAUGUCUCCCCUGUGCCAAUGGUGGUUCUAGUUUAACCCAGGACCACCCAGAGGUCUGCCCCUUUGCACAUGACUGUUGAAGGUCAUAUUCUCAAAUAAUUAAAUCUUGAUCCUUUGCUGCAGCCCUUCCUAAAUCCUGUUACUCUGAGUAGGGUGGAGAUUGUAAGUUCCAAGACCUGGUUCUGUCAUUCCAAGUAUCUCUAUUGUAUCAAUUCUAAAAUCAAUCAUGACUCAAAGAACUUCCUGUUCUAUGCUUAAGCAUAGGUCAAAGCCCUUUCCAUUGUUUAGCAAAAGGUUUCUGUCCUAAAGUAAUCUUAAGUAGGGAGGAGAAAGAUCCUCCCAUGCCAAGAGGUUUCACAUUCCAAUAGAGUUCUUACUAUCAGUAGGAAUUUUUUUCCAAGUAUGAAAUUUCCCAAUGGUGAAAUUUCCAACAUUCAUAAGUCUAAGAAAUUUUAAGGUUUACACUCUAGGCCUGGCUCUCAAACCACUGAGCCACCCAGCUGCCCCCCUCCCCAUAGCCCUGAUUCUUAAAGGCUCUAUAUAGUGGGAAAUACAUAGUACCACCAAUCUCCCCAUUAUUUCUUUGUAGAAAGCAAAAAUUCAUGAAACACAAAUAGUCAUUGUAAUAUCUCCCAAUUCUUUAACACUAAUGGAGACACAAUGAUGACCUGUGGCUUCAAAAUUAGUCCAUUAAUGUAUAUUGGGGAGAAAGAGGGGAAGAGGGGCUCAGAUGAACAAACUGUUCUUUUGGCAUAAAAACAAUUAUCUCUGAAAACAAGGAAGAAUAGAAAGAAAGGUGAGUGACACCAAGGAAGGGUAAUCACACUGAGUAAAUUGAACCAGUUCACAUGGACUGAGGAGUGUCAAGGUAAUUCUAUAACCCUUGAUCUAGAUCCAUAGCAUGUACUUUGUUCCCCUUGUAGUUCAUAGGGCUGAUCCAACACAGCAAUUCACACAUUCCUGAACUCAAGGUUUGUUAAAAAGCAAAUAACACAAACCCCAAGUUAUUUUUUUAUUAUUUUUUGUAAGCCAUGAGUGAUUCCCCCCCCACAUGUUAGUAGCAACUUAUUUAUUAUUUAUUUAUUCAUUCAUUUAUUUAUUUAUUCAUUCAUUUAUUUAUUUAUUUAUUUAUUUUGGAUCCUCAAACCUGACAUUUGGAAUAAUUCUUUAAAAAAAAUUUCUUCCCCUGUCCCCCAUACCUCUGUUCUAUAAUGCAUAUAAUUUAAUUGCUGGUACAAAAGUUCUAGCAUCAAACAGGAGGACUUAUAUUUCAAGGAAUACUCUCCCUGAUUUUCUUUCUAUGUAUCUUGAGAUCAAGGUGAACUGUCUUCCUGCCAGACUGGCUUGAUAAACUGUUAACUUCAGAAUUAAUCAUUUCUAGCUUUCCCCCCAGACCAUCAUAAAAGAACUUCCUGAAGCAUAGCUGUUUGGGGGUGGAAGGAAUCCAGUCAGUUUCAGUUGAAAUUGAGACCAAAGAAAGGCCAACUAUUCUGAUGUGGAAUGAUAACUUGGUUAUUGUAGUGUUAGAAGCUGGGCUACCAAAAUGUUUUUAUUAUAAUUAUGGUAAAAUAUUCCCCACCUCCUUGAUACAAUCCCACCUUGGUUUAUGUGUCAUGUAUACAGAAGUUUGUGUGUAAAAGUUGGCUCUGGAGGGAGUGAAAGAGAAUAUGCAUGGGACAGAAUUGAGUGUGUUAUUCUGAAAAUGAGCAUUCAGCUUACAAAAACUCAUUUGUUACCUUUUUGUUGGUUGAAGUCUCCAGGACAGGUUUGGGAGGGAGACUGAUGAACAGAUGGGGAAAUGAACAGCUCUAUUGCUUCCCUUGCCUCACCUGAGGUGGGUUGGAAGCACAGGUGUUUUUGUGUUGGUCAAAGCCUGGGGGUAGGGGUGGUGUGGUCUGAUAGGGAGGCAGUGGGGAAAUCUUGUGUAUAUGUUGACUGCUUGCUCCCUUGGCACUCCUUAGCCCAUCAUUGGAGGGCUCUCUUUCAUGAAGGGGAAUGAACAUCUGCCUCCUUUUACUCCUGUCUUCUGACUCUGAUUUUGUUUAUUUGAGUGAGGGGGCACUUAUAAUCAAUUUUUAUCCCACACAAAUAGAACUAGGGGUGAGUAGAACUGGGUUCUGUCAACUGCAUUUAUGGAACCCUCUAAGUUUGCCUGUGUCCCCUGGGUAACUUGCCUUGCCUUAAGGGAAGUCCCAGGCUGACCUUAUCUUAGACUGAGUAAUAAACCUUAACGUACCCAAUGAUCUCAGUUUAGACAGAAUUAGUAGAUAUAACCAAAUCUUAAGUACCCUUAGGGUUUUUUUUUCCAUUGAAUCAGAGGCUUCUCCCAAGUAGUCCAGCCCAAGGCUGGAAUCAUCCUUUCCUUGUAUCCAUUGUAAAGUAUUAACUUCCCCCAGGCUGGACUCCUUCUCUUGUGUCCAUUGUAAAGCCAAUCAAAUGAACCUUCAGGUCCUAUAUUCCCCCUGAAGUUUAUAAGACCCAAGUUCUUCAGUUUACUGGAAAAUCUCCUUUGGCAGUAUGUUUUCCUAGGGACAUUGUUUCCAGAGUCCCAGUGCUUUGGCUCUUUGUGGUAUUUAGCACUUGACUGUGUGGUGGCCAAAUCUUGAGCUUUGUUUCUCUUGUCCUGAAUAAAGACUUAUUCUUUC
This is a non-coding RNA of Monodelphis domestica (gray short-tailed opossum), 11576 nucleotides long. NCBI's taxonomy places the organism in Eukaryota, Metazoa, Chordata, Mammalia, Didelphimorphia, Didelphidae. The record is from RefSeq and is a predicted model, not a curated record.